CGGGGUAUAGCUCAGAUGGAUAGAGCGUCCCCCUCCUAAGGGGAAGGUCGGCAGUUCGAACCUGCCUACCUCGACCA
RNAcentral lists this transfer RNA (77 nucleotides) under Photobacterium kishitanii. RNAcentral describes it as "tRNA-Arg". It matches the Rfam family "tRNA". Rfam says of the family: Transfer RNA (tRNA) molecules are approximately 80 nucleotides in length. Their secondary structure includes four short double-helical elements and three loops (D, anti-codon, and T loops). Further hydrogen bonds mediate the characteristic L-shaped molecular structure. tRNAs have two regions of fundamental functional importance: the anti-codon, which is responsible for specific mRNA codon recognition, and the 3' end, to which the tRNAs corresponding amino acid is attached (by aminoacyl-tRNA synthetases). tRNAs cope with the degeneracy of the genetic code in two manners: having more than one tRNA (with a specific anti-codon) for a particular amino acid; and 'wobble' base-pairing, i.e. permitting non-standard base-pairing at the 3rd anti-codon position. Lineage: Bacteria; Pseudomonadati; Pseudomonadota; Gammaproteobacteria; Vibrionales; Vibrionaceae. The record is from RNAcentral.